GUAGUACUCCUUCCGUCCCAAAAUUCUUGUCUUAGGUUUUUCUAAAAAUAGAUGUAUUCAAAUACUAAAAUGUGACUAGAUACAUUCACAUCCAAACAAAUAUAUGACAAGAACUUUGGGACGGAGGGAGUAUUAA
Molecule: non-coding RNA, 136 nt
Organism: Hordeum vulgare subsp. vulgare (domesticated barley)
Lineage: Eukaryota; Viridiplantae; Streptophyta; Magnoliopsida; Poales; Poaceae
Source: Rfam